Molecule: ribosomal RNA, 468 nt
Filed under: uncultured bacterium
Lineage: Bacteria
Description: partial 16S ribosomal RNA
Rfam family: Bacterial small subunit ribosomal RNA
Source: RNAcentral
GACGAACGCUGGCGGCGUGCUUAACACAUGCAAGUCGAACGGAAAGGCCCUGCUUUUGUGGGGUGCUCGAGUGGCGAACGGGUGAGUAACACGUGAGUAACCUGCCCUUGACUUUGGGAUAACUUCAGGAAACUGGGGCUAAUACCGGAUAGGAGCUCCUGCUGCAUGGUGGGGGUUGGAAAGUUUCGGCGGUUGGGGAUGGACUCGCGGCUUAUCAGCUUGUUGGUGGGGUAGUGGCUUACCAAGGCUUUGACGGGUAGCCGGCCUGAGAGGGUGACCGGCGACAUUGGGACUGAGAUACGGACCAGACUGCUACGGGAGGCAGCAGUCGGGAGUAUUGCACAAUGGGCGGAAGCCAGAGACAGCAACGCCGCGUGCGGGAUGACCUCCUUCGGGUUGUAAACCGCUGUCGCCUGUGACGAAGCGUGAGUGACGGUAAUUGGUAAAGAAGCACCGGCUAACUACGUG